RNAcentral lists this ribosomal RNA (449 nucleotides) under uncultured bacterium. RNAcentral describes it as "partial 16S ribosomal RNA". It matches the Rfam family "Bacterial small subunit ribosomal RNA", at positions 29 to 523 of the family's 1533-position model. The record is from RNAcentral.
AACGAACGCUGGCGGCAGGCUUAACACAUGCAAGUCGAACGCAUCCUUCGGGGUGAGUGGCAGACGGGUGAGUAACGCGUGGGAACGUGCCCUUCAGUUCGGGAUAACCCAGGGAAACUUGGGCUAAUACCGGAUACGUGCGAGAGCAGAAAGAUUUAUCGCUGAAGGAUCGGCCCGCGUCUGAUUAGCUAGUUGGUGGGGUAAUGGCCCACCAAGGCGACGAUCAGUAGCUGGUCUGAGAGGAUGAUCAGCCACAUUGGGACUGAGACACGGCCCAAACUCCUACGGGAGGCAGCAGUGGGGAAUAUUGGACAACGGGCGCAAGCCUGAUCCAGCCAUGCCGCGUGAGUGAUGAAGGCCUUAGGGUUGUAGAGCUCUUUCGUCCGGGACGAUAAUGACGGUACCGGAAGAAGAAGCCCCGGCUAACUUCGUGCCAGCAGCCGCGGUAA